UUCAAACCUAAUUAUGGCUUUCAAGAGGCAAUAUCCUAUUUUGGUGAUUCUCUUUCUUUCUGUGUUGCUUCUUUCUGCUGAAGCAACCUCACGGUUCACAAGAGAGAAGGAUACUCGCCACCCAAGUAUCAAGCAAUCGAUGUUUGAAAAGAGUGACAUCACGCGAUAAACCUCGUUGCACAAUUAUUAGAAAUAAUAAUAAUGUAAUGCUUCUGAUCUAUUUGUAAAUUCUUUGUCUACAUAGUUAUUUAGUUAUUUUGUAUAUUGUACUGUUAUUACAAACCCAAAGGGCUCCACAGCUGCGUGUUGCAAAUUAUACACCAAUUAUGUAAUGUUGGAAUAUUUAUAAAUA
Prosopis cineraria is the source of this 352-nucleotide long non-coding RNA. RefSeq lists it as uncharacterized. The record is from RefSeq and is a predicted model, not a curated record. The transcript is spliced from 2 exons. Lineage: Eukaryota; Viridiplantae; Streptophyta; Magnoliopsida; Fabales; Fabaceae.